GCUGGGUGUGGUGGCGGGCACCUGUAAUCCCAGCUACUGGGGAGGCUGAGGCAGGAGAAUUGCUUGAACCCAGGAGGCGGAGGCUGCAGUGAGCCGAGAUUGUGUCACUGCACUCCAACCUGGGUGACAGAGCGAAACUCAGUCUCAA
RNAcentral lists this non-coding RNA (148 nucleotides) under Pan troglodytes (chimpanzee). Lineage: Eukaryota; Metazoa; Chordata; Mammalia; Primates; Hominidae. The record is from Rfam by way of RNAcentral.